GGGCUACACACGUGCUACAAUGGCGGUGACAGUGGGCAGCAAGCACGCGAGUGUGAGCUAAUCUCCAAAAGCCGUCUCAGUUCGGAUUGUUCUCUGCAACUCGAGAGCAUGAAGGCGGAAUCGCUAGUAAUCGCGGAUCAGCAUGCCGCGGUGAAU
This 156-nucleotide ribosomal RNA is filed under the name Novosphingobium capsulatum. RNAcentral's name for it is "partial 16S rRNA". It matches the Rfam family "Bacterial small subunit ribosomal RNA", at positions 1211 to 1367 of the family's 1533-position model. The record is from RNAcentral. Lineage: Bacteria; Pseudomonadati; Pseudomonadota; Alphaproteobacteria; Sphingomonadales; Sphingomonadaceae.